RNAcentral lists this unclassified non-coding RNA (433 nucleotides) under Hevea brasiliensis (rubber tree). The record is from RNAcentral. Lineage: Eukaryota; Viridiplantae; Streptophyta; Magnoliopsida; Malpighiales; Euphorbiaceae.
AAAUAAAUAAAUAAAUAAUGAACAGUGCCGGACUAACACCAACAAGAGUUGAGUUGAAACUAGAAUUAACGGCUCAAAAUCCUCGACACCAAGUAAUCAACGAAUAAACUCCAUCGCCAAUCAAUUAGGAAGAAAGGGGAAAUUUGUGAAAAACUGAGCUCCUCGAAGCAACAAAAAACGCUAAUCCAAAUGCAUUAAAAAUGUGAAAACUUAGUUGUAAAUCAUAAUAGAAGUUACCAAAAGUUUGAUCUUUUAAAGCUCCUAACUGAGCUCGAAGAAAGAACUCAAGUUUUCGAGAGACAGAAAAAAGAGAUAGAGAGGAGCCAAGUGGGCGCAGAAGACGGCGAAAGGCCAGCAGAGAGAGUUGCAGUGGACCAAGACCAACACCACGCAAUACAAUUACAAGCCUUUAGCUUAAGUCCUUCUAGCUUAA